Molecule: ribosomal RNA, 253 nt
Filed under: uncultured bacterium
Lineage: Bacteria
Description: partial 16S ribosomal RNA
Rfam family: Bacterial small subunit ribosomal RNA
Source: RNAcentral
UACGUAGGGGGCAAGCGUUGUCCGGAUUUAUUGGGCGUAAAGAGCGUGUAGGCGGCCAGACAGGUCCGUUGUGAAAACUCGAGGCUCAACCUCGAGAUGUCGAUGGAAACCGUCUGGCUAGAGUCCGGAAGAGGAGAGUGGAAUUCCUGGUGUAGCGGUGAAAUGCGCAGAUAUCAGGAGGAACACCAAUGGCGAAGGCAGCUCGCUGGGACGUGACUGACGCUGAGACGCGAAAGCGUGGGGAGCAAACAGG